AGAGAGAAGCUUGCUUCUCUUGAGAGCGGCGGACGGGUGAGUAAUGCCUAGGAAUCUGCCUGGUAGUGGGGGAUAACGUCCGGAAACGGACGCUAAUACCGCAUACGUCCUACGGGAGAAAGCAGGGGACCUUCGGGCCUUGCGCUAUCAGAUGAGCCUAGGUCGGAUUAGCUAGUUGGUGAGGUAAUGGCUCACCAAGGCGACGAUCCGUAACUGGUCUGAGAGGAUGAUCAGUCACACUGGAACUGAGACACGGUCCAGACUCCUACGGGAGGCAGCAGUGGGGAAUAUUGGACAAUGGGCGAAAGCCUGAUCCAGCCAUGCCGCGUGUGUGAAGAAGGUCUUCGGAUUGUAAAGCACUUUAAGUUGGGAGGAAGGGUACUUACCUAAUACGUGAGUAUUUUGACGUUACCGACAGAAUAAGCACCGGCUAACUCUGUGCCAGCAGCCGCGGUAAUACAGAGGGUGCAAGCGUUAAUCGGAAUUACUGGGCGUAAAGCGCGCGUAGGUGGUUCGUUAAGUUGGAUGUGAAAUCCCCGGGCUCAACCUGGGAACUGCAUCCAAAACUGGCGAGCUAGAGUAUGGUAGAGGGUGGUGGAAUUUCCUGUGUAGCGGUGAAAUGCGUAGAUAUAGGAAGGAACACCAGUGGCGAAGGCGACCACCUGGACUGAUACUGACACUGAGGUGCGAAAGCGUGGGGAGCAAACAGGAUUAGAUACCCUGGUAGUCCACGCCGUAAACGAUGUCAACUAGCCGUUGGGAGCCUUGAGCUCUUAGUGGCGCAGCUAACGCAUUAAGUUGACCGCCUCGGGAAAAAGGCCGCAAGGUUAAAACUCAAACGAACAGGAGGCU
RNAcentral lists this ribosomal RNA (852 nucleotides) under uncultured bacterium. RNAcentral's name for it is "bacterial SSU rRNA". It matches the Rfam family "Bacterial small subunit ribosomal RNA", at positions 71 to 918 of the family's 1533-position model. The record is from RNAcentral.